CCUACGGGAGACAGCAGUGGGGAAUAUUGCACAAUGGGGGAAACCCUGAUGCAGCGACGCCGCGUGAAGGAAGAAGUAUUUCUGUAUGUAAACUUCUAUCAGCAGGGAAGAAAAUUACGGUACCUGACUACGAAGCCCCGGCGAACUACGUGCCAGCCGCCGCGGUAAUACGGAGGGGGCAAGCGUUAUCCGGAUUUACUGGGUGUAAAGGGAGCGUAGGCGGUUUAGCAAGUCAGAAGUGAAAGCCCGGGGCUCAACUCCGGGACUGCGUUUGAAACUGUUGAACUAGAUUGCAGGAGAGGUAAGUGGAAUUCCUAGUGGAGCGGUGAAAUGCGUAGAUAUUAGGAGGAACACCAGUGGCGAAGGCGGCUUACUGGACUGUAAAUGACGCUGAGGCUCGAAAGCGUGGGGAGCAAACAGGAUUAGAUACCCCUGUAGUC
RNAcentral lists this ribosomal RNA (440 nucleotides) under uncultured bacterium. RNAcentral describes it as "partial 16S ribosomal RNA". It matches the Rfam family "Bacterial small subunit ribosomal RNA", at positions 338 to 795 of the family's 1533-position model. The record is from RNAcentral.